UGAAAAACAGAGGACUUACAACAUCACC
RNAcentral lists this small RNA (28 nucleotides) under Arabidopsis thaliana (thale cress). Its description in RNAcentral is "ATSL220070". Lineage: Eukaryota; Viridiplantae; Streptophyta; Magnoliopsida; Brassicales; Brassicaceae. The record is from RNAcentral.